CUUUCUUUUCUUCCUCACCUUUCGAAUCUUUCUCCUAGAUUAAGGAGAUUGUUGUUUUGUUGUUAGUGGUUGCCAUCAUCAUCACAUUGAAAUCAACUUUAGUUAAUACUAGCCUCCUGCACGCGCUCACGGGCGUGCGGAAGGCCCUUUUGUAAUUAAGGCAUUCUACGUGCGACUUAAAUAAUUUAAAUGAUAACAAAAGAGCGGUUGCUCUCUGAUCUAAUUGCAGACACAAUCUGCAGAACCGUCUUCUAUGGGAUUUGAACUUGUGAAGUGUGAGGUGGAGACCUGAAUGUAACAAAUUGGUGUUAAGUGAAUAAUUCCAAACAUAUAAAAUUUAGAUCAUCACACCGAACGCAAACAGAACAAUUAAAUAAACAACUGAAGGCAUACGCAAUCUAAUUAGACAAAUAAGUGAACUUUCCCAUGCCGAAAUCUGAAAGGCCAACAGAAAUAUCUCAUUACAGCACAGAAGACAAAACUUAGGACAAAACUUAAAACUAAUCAAACUUAGGUGAACCAAUUAUAGAGAACAUAACCCUUGUAACCAAUCGGGAAAAGAUGCUUUUAAAUCCCAGAAAAAAAAAUUAAGAGGAGUUUUUUAAAAAACCAUCAUUUCAAUUAUUUUCCAGUCUUACAUUUGGAUUAAACAGAAAAUAUAAGUAAAAAUGCCAACUUUCUAAAAAAACUACAACUAUUUUUACAAAUUUCCAUUACCCAAUGCUGAAAAAUGAGAAUCACGAAGCAAUGAAGAACGGAACACGCGAGAACCAAAAAGUUAAAAACAACACGUAACCAUUUCAAAGACCCAAAAUCCUGCAAGGACAAAAAAAUCCCAUAAAAUCAGUACAUCAGCACUCCCUGCAAAACCCCAAAAUCAGAAAAUUAUAAAAAGAACCCAAAAUCAGUGGCAUGGUCCUCGUUUCUCCAUCAUUCAGUAGCUAAUGACCUAAUGGAAAAGAACCCAAAACAUACAGCUUAAAAUAUGGAAAGUGCUUAUAAAAGCUCAUGAAUAACGUUCAAAGCCUGCAUAGAAAUGGUAUAGCGCAGAUAACAACAAACAAUAAAACUAUGCACAGUAUAACCUAAAUCCGAUAUGUUGCAUUCCCCACACACAGAUUGUUCAAAAUUAAUUUCGUCUCCGUCUUUUUUCAAAUCUGAUAAAAUCCCCAAAACACAAAAAAUAGCAGCUAACUAUUUUUUGAACUCUGUAAACAACGAUAUGCAUCUUAACCCAUUUAACAUAUUCAUAAAAUAACAUCAAACACAUUUAUGCAUGAGAUAAUAUAGAAGUGAAGUCUCACAACUUUCAUAAAAAAUUAUUACUUUGUUAGAGAAAGGCUUGAAAAAAUAUGUAAAUUACUCACCUCUAUUACAAAAAUGUUACAACAGUAGACAAAAAAGGCCAAAAAUACCAAAAGCCGCACCUCCUGAAAUAAAAAACAUAACCAAACGACACAUUCUCAGUAUCUAAACGAUAUCCAGAAAAAAAGAAAUGAACAGACGAAACCCAUGUAAAUAUACAGAACAAACCAAAAAAAAAAAAAAGAACUGAAGCCAGUAAGAAGAUCACAAAUCUGAUAAAGCAAAAGGUAACAUAAUCUAUAUCGAUUUAAUUAUCCAUCCAAAAAGACAUUUGAAUGAAGAACAUUUUUAAGGAUCCAAACAACCAUUAAACUAAACAAUUAAAAGUAAAAACAGCAAAGCAUUCAUUGAAGAAAUAUAUAUAUAUAUAUAUAUUAUAACGUAUUUUGUUCUUUAUACCUAAAAGAAAAACAUUGGCUUUCUUGUAUGCACUGAAGUAUGCAUGUGUCGGAAAUUUACAAUCUAUAGAGACUCAAUCUCAGACUCAAAAAGACAUCUAAAGGAAAAGUAAUAAGAAAAAUAAGUAGUGGUUUUACCUAUACUCCAUGUGUGGACUCCAAUUUUCAAUCACAAUUCAAAAUUCAAGAGGCCUAUAAAUCAACCACAUAGGAAAUGAUCAGUGGAAGAAAAAGAAAAACAACUGAAGCCAAAAUAGCAUCUAACAAAUCAUUUAGAACCAUCACAGAAAACAAUUUUUGCAUAUAAGUAAUUUAAAGGAAUACCAUCAGGUCAUGCAUAUAUACAACGUACCCAAUUAGAUAAGUAGCACAUCAACAAUUGAUGAUCAAAAAGUUAGUCAGCCUCAAUUGCUUGAAUCUAAUUAACUCAAAGAUAAUAAACAGUCCAUUUAAUGCACGGGCUGACUAUCAAUUUUAUAAAGCUAUAAUUCUGUGCAGUUCAAAAACCAAGUGGAAGAAUAGGCAAAAACUAUCUCAUCGCCUGUAAAUGUAAUUAACUAAAUAUUAAACUUCACAGCCACAAAUAAACCUAAAUUCCUCCUAAAACUAUCUCAUUUAAGCUUGAUUUUACUAUAAUCUAUAAGUGUGGUAAAAAAUGGGAGGCCAAACGAUUUGUUAACAAAAAAGGUAGACAUAAAAGUAAAAGGAACAGGGCAGACAUUAGUUGAGGAGAAGCUAAUGUCACCUUGAAUUGACGACAAACAGUUCUUAUCUUCUCGAAUUAACGAAGAUAAGUACCAUUUUUCUUUAAUUCAAGGUAAUAUAAAAAGAAAUUAUACCUGUACAGUGUUCAGAUGUAGCAAUCCUAUGCAAUCGGCCAAAUGAUGUGUGUCCUCUCAAAGAUCUGUAUAUCCAUUACAGACUAAUCUUCAGUCUUGCAGAAAAUGAUAUGUUGACUACAAUUUCCCAUACUACUAAAAAACACAAAUAAUUCUAUCUACAAACCAAAUAAUAUGUGCAACUUUAUGCUACAAUGGUAGAAUAAGAUGGUUGUACAGGACGACACAAAGAUUGAGACUUUUUUUUACUUCUAAAAUUCUACACACUUUCGAGCCCUAAAUUUUCCCGGAAACAAAAAAAAGUGAAAGAAGUCGUACCUGGUUUGAGAGAGUGGGACACCAUCGGCGAGUUUGGUGUAGCAGUGAUGGCGGAGAUCUCUGGUGAGAAAGCUAAUAAGAUGGACAAAAUCAUUGAACAAAAAAAACCUCGCUUUUUAAAAUUAAAGUCAACAAAAAUUUGAACAAAGAAAAGAGAACUCAAACCCGAAACAAAUAAGUCGGAGAACUCGCCAGGAAACCCAAAGUUUCUGCAGGAUUGGCGAUUUCCUGAAAACCAAGCUUUUGUAGGUUUAAAAUUUCUUCCCUAAGGCAACAGAUCCAACAUUCCCAACUUUAGCUAUUUCAGCUACAUAAUAGAAAGAAAAAAAAAUUUAUAUAAUUAACUAAUCUGAUUUAAGAUUAAUCGAAAAGCUUGGAAAUUUCAGCUUUAAAAUUACAUGUCAGGCUGCAAAUCUAAUAAAAAGCGUAGAAUUUUAAAAAUGCUGACCUUAAAUACAGAGGCCUUCGCAGGCUGCAAAGAAGCGUUAGAAACCCGAAAAACCGGAUCUCCUGAAACCAAAAACAAAACCAAAUUAACCAUCAUCACCCAUAAUUCGAAGCCACAAACAUAAUCCCCAAAAUUACAACCCAAAAAUUUAAACAAAAAAACCCAUUUAUAAAUCCAAAUUUACACUCCCAAGUGCAAGACUCUAAGCUCCAACUGUUCUUUCUCAACUUUAGCUAUUUCAGCAACAUAACAUAAAUAAAAAGGUCGUACCCAGUGCACAAGGCUCCCGCUUUACGCAGGGUCUGGGAGAGGUGAAUGUCGGCUAGCCUUACCCCCAUUUUAUGGAGAGGCUGCUCCCAAGUCUCGAACCCGAGACCUACCGCUCAUGGGCGAAGACACUUGCCAUCGCACCAAGUGCGACCUCUAGCAACAUAACAUAAAUAAAAAGAUCGUACCCAGUGCACAAGGCUCCCGCUUUACGCAGGGUCUGGGAGAGGUGAACGUCGGCUAGCCUUACCCCCAUUUUAUGAAGAGGCUGGAACAUAACAUAAAUAAAUAAACAAAAUUAAUUUAACUAUAAUUAACUAAUAUGAUUUAAGAUUAAUCAAAAAACUUGGAAAUCUGCUUGAAUCCAAUCUCAAAAUUGAAAACGAACACUUCACUUUUACAAAAGUUGUACAAAGCAAAAAAAAAAAAACAGACAAAUCAAAGUCUCACAAAGGGCCACAACGACAGCAAAAUUGCAACAGAAAGAGGAAAAAUGUUCAAUCAAACCAUUGGAUAACUCUUCUAAGGCAGCCAAAAAAAAACCCACAAAUUCAAAACCACAAAAAUCCAAUCUAAAACAUCGAUUCACAGACUGAGAUGCACAAAAUGAUAUAUUAACAAAUCCAAAACGAAAUACAAAAAUUAAGAACCAACAAGCAAAAAAAUACUGAUUAUCCCCUGCAUACGUGAGCACACGUUCAAAAAGCCUCUCAAAGGCUGAGAUUCAACUUUCAAACAUAAAGACUUUAAGCCACAAUUGUUCUUUCUUAACUUUAGCUACUUCAGUUACAUAAUCGGAAAAAAAAAAUUAUUUAAUUAUAGUUAACUAAUCUGGGUUAAGAUUAAUAAAAAAGCUUGGAAAUUUCAGAUCUAAAAUCACACCUCAGGCUGCAAGUAGAAUCAAAACCAUGGAAUUUCAAAAUCACUGACCUUAAACACACAGGUCUUCGCAGGCUUCAAAGAAAAGUCACAAACUCGAAAAACCCAAUCUCCUGAAAUCGAAAACAAAACCAAAUUAACCAUCAUCACCUAGAAUCCGAAGCUACAAAACAAAAUUCCCAAAAUCAAAACCAAAAAAUUUGAACAAAAAACUCAUUUAAUAUCCAAAUUUACACUCCCAAGCACAUAACAUUCAAAGCAGACAAUUACCCAAAUCAAAUCGACAGCAGGAGAUGCAAUCUUUUAUGGGCUUCAAAUUUUCUUCAAACCGAGACCAAAUUCGCUAGUUUUCAGCAAGAGAGCGUUGCCGUUUGUAACCCCCGAUGAAAAGAUCCAAACAAAUUUGACUAACAGUAGACAGAGAGAGAGAGAGAUAGAGAGAGAGAGGUGAAAAUUACUCGCUGGUGACGAAGCUAAUGAAUUCGGAGACGCAUUCCUGGACGGUGUUCGACUGAUCGGCACGAGUAGAGACACCAGAUCAGAAAGACAGAAAAAUUAGGGUUUGGGAGAUAAAGAAACUGGGGCAGAGAGAGAGGGAAAGAGAAGCAGAAAAGAGGAUAAUUUUAUGCAUUUUUUUUAGCCGCUUUGAAUUUUUUUUGGCCGACAGGCAUUUGCGUCCGAUUAUUUUUGUCGAAGCCGGUGACACCAAAACCGGCCUCCGGCUUUCGGACCAGGAUUGUCUGCCCCUUCAUUUUCCCUGCCAUGU
Molecule: long non-coding RNA, 5280 nt
Filed under: Malus domestica (apple)
Lineage: Eukaryota; Viridiplantae; Streptophyta; Magnoliopsida; Rosales; Rosaceae
Description: long non-coding RNA (MDOM_LNC014825)
Source: RNAcentral